CUUCUCUUUCGGGACCCCAUAUUCAUUCAUGUAGCACUCCACACUUGAAGGGCAGUCUCCCCUCUUUUGCUCUUCCUUUAAUCAUGUACUUUAUACUUAAGGAAAAGAAAUUAUCAUGAUUACCUCGUGGGUGGCGACAUCAUCGAGAAGACGGGCAAAUAACUUUGCAUUCCUAACAAUUUUGGGAGCAUCACGCACCCAAACGAUUUCCUUCAUGCUUGCCUCUUUCAAUCCAAGUAAGAAUGCUGCUGUAAGUAGCUCGCCUGUGGUUGUGAUUGAGGCAUUAUGUAGGUACUCAUCAAAUGCUGGCACAUAGAGACUAUUGAACCAUUCUCCCUCUUGUAAAUCAGCUCUAGUCAGCUCCUUGAACUAGUAAUACCCAGAAAAAGAAAAGAAACAGUAGUUAUUAUUUUUAAUUAAAGAUUGGCAUUAGAAGAAGGCGCCAAAUGACUCUAUCAAACCGAUCAGAUCAAAGCCCAAGAAGUACUCCAUCCAGCAAAUAUUACCAUCUCCUUGGCAUAAGAGGUUUUGUAAGAGCUUCCUUCAUUGGCAUCAUUCUCUGUUUCUUCAAAAAGUUUCAGUAUAGCCUUGUAAAGAUACUGCAUGUAUUCUGGUAGCUCAUGAAUAGCAUCAAUACUGCACCUGAAUUUUAUUUUUUCGAGAGAAAAAAAAAAACCCAGAAAUUGUUAAAAGAUACUAAAUGUUUUUGGAA
Molecule: long non-coding RNA, 712 nt
Organism: Ricinus communis (castor bean)
Lineage: Eukaryota; Viridiplantae; Streptophyta; Magnoliopsida; Malpighiales; Euphorbiaceae
Exons: 2
Source: RefSeq, a predicted model, not a curated record